This is a long non-coding RNA of Sebastes umbrosus (honeycomb rockfish), 548 nucleotides long. RefSeq lists it as uncharacterized. The record is from RefSeq and is a predicted model, not a curated record. The transcript has 2 exons. Lineage: Eukaryota; Metazoa; Chordata; Actinopteri; Perciformes; Sebastidae.
CACAUCUGAGUCUGGAGCCUUCUGCAGGAAUGGAUAUAUGUGGAUGUAGAAACCUCCUCCCACCAUGAACAGGAUCAGAUAUAGAAAACGGAUCCAGAGGGAAGAGGAAGAGGAAUAUGCCGUAUAGUGACUGGAGAGGAAGAAAGAGCUCAGGCCACACCAGGCAGCAGUCACCUACAGCAGAGAAGAGCAGUCCUCCCGCCACACCCAGGAUACUCUGACCUCCGUUCCAGCUCAGCACUACUGCAGCCAAUAGGAGCGUCGGUGCUGAUUUGAUACCUGCAGACAUGAUGGACGCGGGUGUGUCAGGUGUCCACAGGUAGAAGUACACAGCUAUGGACGAGAAGAAAGGCAAGAGAGAAAGAAGGACAGCACAGAACUGAUAGAUAAAGAGAAACAGAAGGAAACGGGGAGACAAAUCACAAUUUAAGUUUUUAAGAGAUGGCUAAAAUUAUGAAAAUGUUAUCCUUUCCACAUGGAGAAAGCUGUUGUAACAUAAACAACUACUGACACAACGACUGUAAAUAAGAGUAAAUUAUUUUUCCGUA